CAUCAGCAGAGGGGCACCAGCCAAAGGGUGUGGCUACCUCACCGCUGGUCCCCAGGCCUGGGAGGUGGGGAGCACACACAGUGCCGUGGGUACCCAGUUGGGUGUUCUCCCGCUGCAGAGGAGACGGCAGCCUGGGUCCUGCCCUUCACCUCUGGCGGCUUUCUCUACAUCGCCUUGGUGAACGUGCUCCCUGACCUCUUGGAAGAAGAGGACCCGUGGCGCUCCCUGCAGCAGCUGCUUCUGCUCUGUGCGGGCAUCGUGGUAAUGGUGCUGUUCUCGCUCUUCGUGGAUUAACUUUCCCUGAUGCCGACGCCCCUGCCCCCUGCAGCAAUAAGAUGCUCGGAUUCACUCUGUGACCGCAUAUGUGAGAGGCAGAGAGGGCGAGUGGCUGCGAGAGAGAAUGAGCCUCCCGCCAGACAGGAGGGAGGUGCGUGUGGAUGUAUGUGGUGUGCACAUGUGGCCAGAGGCGUGUGUGUGAGACCGACACUGUGAUCCCUGUGCUGGGUCCGGGGCCCAGUGUAGCGCCUGUCCCCAGCCAUGCUGUGGUUACCUCUCCGUGCCGCCCUGUCACCUUCACCUCCCGGAGUAAGCAGCGAGGAACAGCAGCACUGGUCCCAAGCAGAGGCCUUGCCCUGCUGGGACCCCGGGAGUGAGAGCAGCCCAAGGAUCCCAGGAUGCAGGGAACUCCAGAGCUGCCCACCUCCCACUGCCCCCUCAGCACACACACAGUCCCCAGGUGGCCUAGGGGCCAAGGCUGGGGCGGCUUUGGUCCCUUUUCCUGGCCCUUCCUUCCCCACUUCUAAGCCAAAGAAAGGAGAGGCAGGUGCUCCUGUACCCCAGCCCCACUCAGCACUGACAGUCCCCAGCUCCUAGUAGUGAGCUGGGAGGCGCUUCCUAAGACCCUUUCCUCAGGGCUGCCCUGGGAGCUCAUUCCUGGCCAACACGCCCUGGCAGCACCAGCAGCUCUUGCCACCUCCAGCUGCCAAACAGCAGCCUGCCGGCACAGGGGCCAGGGACUCCUGGAGCAGGCACAUAGUGAGCCCGGGCAGCCCUCCCCAGCUCAGGCCCCUCUCCUUCCCCAUUGAGGUUGGGGUAGGUGGGGGCGGUGAGGGCUCCACGUUGUCAGCGCUCAGGAAUGUGCUCCGGCAGAGUGCUGAAGCCAUAAUCCCCAACCAUUUCCCUUGGCUGACGCCCAGGUACUCAGCUGGCCCACUCCACAGCCAGGCCUGGCCCUGCCCUUCACCGUGGAUGUUUUCAGAAGUGGCCAUCGAGAGGUCUGGAUGGUUUUAUAGCAACUUUGCUGUGAUUCCGUUUGUAUCUGUAAAUAUUUGUUCUAUAGAUAAGAUACAAAUAAAU
Molecule: long non-coding RNA, 1356 nt
Filed under: Pan troglodytes (chimpanzee)
Lineage: Eukaryota; Metazoa; Chordata; Mammalia; Primates; Hominidae
Description: long non-coding RNA NONPTRT002637
Source: RNAcentral